This is a non-coding RNA of Camellia sinensis, 1388 nucleotides long. The record is from RefSeq and is a predicted model, not a curated record. NCBI's taxonomy places the organism in Eukaryota, Viridiplantae, Streptophyta, Magnoliopsida, Ericales, Theaceae.
CUUUUCAACCUCAUUUGAGAUUUUGAACCCUAACCCCUCUUUAGAGAGGCAAAUAGAGAGGCGACGAACAGAGCUUGGAAAAGGCCUCUGGGGGGAUAAAGAAUCCCAGAGUGAAGACUUUUUGUGCAGAGACUAGGAAAAUUGAGCUCAUCACCUUGUUUGAGUGUGCUGAUGAUAAUGAAGCAACAGAGGCCAAGAAAAUUGGAAAGAAAAUUUUGAUGAUGACCAUGAAAUUUUCCUUGGCAAUGGCAGCCAUACUCAGCAGGUGCAACACAUUGAUGCCGCCUACAUCCCCUUAUCUGUUUGUCUCUCACCGCUUCCCCUCGCCUCACCGCCGUCCCUUCUCGCCUAGAGGCCUCAUCCAAUCUCCAGAGGCAAUGUUUUUUUUAUUUUUUUAUUUUUUUCUUCCUGAAACAUAAAAAGAAGAAGAAAAGGGGGCUUUUAUUAUGGAUUUAUUGGGUUAGAUUUGUUGUGGAUUUAUUGGGCUUUUGUCUGUGCAACUUAGGGGAAAGUUUUCAAGUUCCCUAAGUUCAGCAAUUUGUAUUGGAAACAUAUCUUGCUUUAUAGAAAUGGUGGUAACCAGGAUUUUGUGCUGAUUGUCCCUAUAUUCAAUAGUCAACAGCAAAUAAAUUUUAUUGUGAUUUGGUGGUACUUAAUUUAUUUAUUUUUUCAUCUCUUCAAUUGCAGUUCAUCACUCUAUUAUACCAUAAAAUUUGUUGUCGCUACUUAAUGCUUCUUUUAUUCUUUUUACUUAUAUUGGUAAAUUCAAUUGCAUGACUUUUUUGCUUAUUGUUUCUCUUCGAAGAACGUUGCAUAGUAUGCUUAAGAUUGCUGUGGAAGUUGAUGAAUUAAUGACUCUAGGACAUAAAUAAUUUCCUCGUGCAUCAGAUAAAGAUCUGACUAUCUGAAAGUAGUGCUAAUUUUGUGUUUUAACAUCAUUUUGAUUCUUGUAUCAUCGCAUUUCUAAAACACCGUAUUGUGCUUAUUUUUACUCAUGUGCUUAACAGAUUUCCUCUCAUCACAUUUCAUGUGUUUUAUCUCUACAGAAAGUGAAUAAAUUCACUCUUGACGGAAAAGAGCCAAGGGAAACUAGUGGAACAAAACAAUGUUGUUGAUGAGUUGGACAACUAUGGUUGGAAACAGAAACUGGGGAUGCCAUUUGAUUUAGAACAAGACAAUGCCAUUUUGUUUCCUUUUUUUGGUGUUGAAUGGUAUUCAUGGAUGUAAUUUUAUUUUCUUAGUUGUUAGACAAGAUCAUACUGAAAUUUGUUUGAUUAAGUUGUGGUAGUGAUCAAUUUUGUUAUUCUCGUAUUUGGAAAAUGUAGAAGUUAUUGAAAAUUAUUUGUCUUGGUAAUGCUAAUAAAUGAAAUUAAUAUUUUCAUUCCAAA